RNAcentral lists this long non-coding RNA (336 nucleotides) under Triticum aestivum (bread wheat). RNAcentral describes it as "long non-coding RNA (TAES_LNC007888)". Lineage: Eukaryota; Viridiplantae; Streptophyta; Magnoliopsida; Poales; Poaceae. The record is from RNAcentral.
ACCAUCAAGUCUUCAUGAGCUUUGGAGAACUAUAAACACAAGUGGUACUAAUAGCAAAGUAGCAGAAAGCCAUCAGAAGCACAAGAUGACCUGAACAGCAAGCCAUCAGAAAUUAGAAUGCAUCAACACCUGGUAUUGGCAAUAACGUAGAGUGGAUGAUAAUAUUUUAUAACCUUAAUAUGAGUUUCUUCAGUUCUUGACUCAUAUUCUCAUUUAUUCCACAAUUCUGAUUGUGAAACCCAAAUUAUGCAAGUAGACUACAGCGUCUUGAUGAAUAACAAUAACCCAAAUUUAAAAUGCAAAUAUGAAGAAGCCUACAAGAUCGAACGAACACCU